AUGGCAAGGACCCAAGAUGUCGCGGCCGAGGAGAGGAGGUUGGCGGCUGAGGAGAGGAGGGUGGCGGCCGAGGAGAGGAAGGUGGCUUUGGAGGAGAGGAAGGUGAGCAAUGAGGAGCGAACUAGAUUGUUGGAAUGGGAGAAGCACUUGUUCUUCUUGGACACAACUAACCUCAAUGCGGUGCAAAAGGAGUAUGUCAAUCUUGCCCAACAAGAAGUCUUGAUCCAAAAAAGAACCAUGGUUCGUGCAAUGGGUGGCGGUGGCAUCGGCGCCAUGGGUGGCGGUGGCAUCGGCGCCAUGGGUGGCGGUGGCCUCGGCGCCAUGGGUGGUGGUGGCCUCGGCGCCAUGGGUGCCAUGGGUGGCUUCGGAGGUACCGUGGGCGGUUUAGGUGCAAUGGGAGGCAUGGCUGGCUUUGGAGCACCCCCCGACGCUAUGGCCACGAUGGGAGGCAUGCGUUUUGCUUCUCUCAUGGGAGGCAUGGGUGCACCUCCGGCCUUCAUGGGCGGAAUGUCUUUGGAUGAGCCUCCUCGCACACAUUCCCAUGAAGAUGUCAUUGAAGAUCUUGCCAACACCGUCGGAGCUUCACGUGAUGCGGUGCGCGAUGAGGAGAGGGAGGAAGAUUCAUCUUCGGAGGCGGAAGAAUCGUCUUUCGAAGAUGAGGACGAGGACGAAGACGACGAGGACGAGGAAUGA
RNAcentral lists this ribosomal RNA (693 nucleotides) under Triticum aestivum (bread wheat). Its description in RNAcentral is "partial small subunit ribosomal RNA". Lineage: Eukaryota; Viridiplantae; Streptophyta; Magnoliopsida; Poales; Poaceae. The record is from RNAcentral.